RNAcentral lists this ribosomal RNA (492 nucleotides) under uncultured bacterium. RNAcentral's name for it is "partial 16S ribosomal RNA". It matches the Rfam family "Bacterial small subunit ribosomal RNA", at positions 29 to 507 of the family's 1533-position model. The record is from RNAcentral.
AGUGAACGCUGGCGGUAGGCCUAACACAUGCAAGUCGAACGGCAGCACAGUAAGAGCUUGCUCUUACGGGUGGCGAGUGGCGGACGGGUGAGGAAUACAUCGGAAUCUACUUUUUCGUGGGGGAUAACGUAGGGAAACUUACGCUAAUACCGCAUACGACCUACGGGUGAAAGCAGGGGUUCUUCGGACCUUGCGCGAUUGAAUUAGCCGAUGUCGGAUUAGCUAGUUGGCGGGGUAAAGGCCCACCAAGGCGACGAUCCGUAGCUGGUCUGAGAGGAUGAUCAGCCACACUGGAACUGAGACACGGUCCAGACUCCUACGGGAGGCAGCAGUGGGGAAUAUUGGACAAUGGGCGCAAGCCUGAUCCAGCCAUACCGCGUGGGUGAAGAAGGCCUUCGGGUUGUAAAGCCCUUUUGUUGGGAAAGAAAAGCAGCAGGUUAAUACCCCGCUGUUCUGACGGUACCCAAAGAAUAAGCACCGGCUAACUUCGUG